This 1557-nucleotide long non-coding RNA is filed under the name Helianthus annuus (common sunflower). RNAcentral's name for it is "hypothetical non coding rna". Lineage: Eukaryota; Viridiplantae; Streptophyta; Magnoliopsida; Asterales; Asteraceae. The record is from RNAcentral.
AACAUAACUUAAUCACAAAAUCCGUCCCUCUCUCUCCUCUCUAAAUUUGUGAGUCACCAAACUCACCCUAGCCAUCCUCACAAUAAAUCCUAAGCGGUUUCCCGAUCAUCAUCAAGAUCAUUACGUCUUCCCUUACUACGGUUAUUGCAUUAUCAGAUGAUGGGGAAGAUCUAUUCAUGGUCUUGUGGCAAACGGAGUCUGGAUUUCUAAACCUUCUCUGAUUAAGAAAGAGGUUUUCUGCUUCGUUAGAGACAAAUUCGUGGAGGAUUGUGCUUGUCGUCCUCGUUUAGUCAGUUCUUGUUUAACCAGAUAUCUUCGUCCACUGCUGUCGAUCUUGAGAAGAGGUUUUUGAAGGAGGAAACUAAGGCUGCUGUUUUCGGAUGUGGCGAAGACCGGGCUCCCGGGCCUGACUGCUUUAAUUUCAAAUUUUUUAACCGGGUUGUUAAUUAGUCUUUGGAUGGAAUGUGAUUAUAUAAUAAGUUAUUUCGUUGGAGUGUGAGCAAAUUGUUACUCCAUCAACGGUCCUCGUAGGCUCAUAGCCUUUGUUGCGUAUCUAGAAUGUGUGGAGGAAUUUUUAGAAAAUAGGAUGAUCAUAGAGGCGUGUAUUCACUCUCAGAUCAAAUUAUUUCGGUGGUUCUCCCUGUGACAACCCUCACCAAACCAGGUCGUUACGCAGCAGGUUGACUGGGAGAUUACUAUUUCGAGACGCACUUCAGUGAGUUCAUGUCCCCCUUUUCUCUUAACUGUUUUCAGUUUUUAAACUGCGGGGGUGAAAUACAUGUUACUAUGAUUACAAAUACUUUUUACAUGGUAUGGUUAGCGUAAGGAGGGUUACUACUUAGAUCAUGUGAGUGGGUAGGCGGGAACUGGAGGCCAUUAAUCCUCAUUGUAGGACCGAGGGUCUUUAGCGGUAGAUCUAUCUGGGUGUAGCGAGCCCAGCCCCAGGCCCAACAGUACGGACCUCGGGGUGACUUGGUACCCGACGCAAAAAUCUGCUAGGUUUGAGUCUUCCUACUGCACUUCACACAUAUCAAUGCGCAUCGGCGUGACUUUGACGGUACCGGAGGUGCUGUUGCUUUUGUCAGAUGGGCCGAGAAGACGGAAACUGUUCUCCGAAUGAGCAAGUGCGCUCCAGACCAACAAGUUACUUACAUCUCUGGGCUAUUCUUGGACGGAGCCCUGUCCUGGUGGAACUUACAAGUUCAAACUCUUGGUGAAGCCGCUGCAUAUGCAAUGACAUGGAACGAGUUGAAAGAGCUUAUGCGAAGAAAGUAUUGCUCUCGCGCUGAAAUUCAAAAGUUGGAAACUGAGUUUUGGUAUCUGAAGAUGGAAGGACCCAAAAUCGCGGAGUAUGUUCAAAGGUAUCACGACCUGUCUCAUGUGGUACCCUAUAUGGUUACACCAGAAUUCAAACGCAUCGAGUGCUUUAUUUGGGGUUUAGCUCCACAGAUCAUGAGUAUGGUCACUACUUCAAAGCCUGCGACAACCACCGAGGCAAUCGAUCUGAGCGUAGCUCUUACUGAGGAGGCCAUCCGUUUGAACAAGUUUUCAGAUGUU